CAAGUCGAGCGGUAACAGACAUAAAGAUUUAGCUUGCUAAAUCCGGUGCUGACGAGCGGCGAACGGGUGAGUAACACGUAGGAAUCUACCCAGUAGCGGGGGAUAGCCCAGGGAAAACUUGGAUUAAUACCGCAUACACCCUAUGGGGAAAAGAAGGCCUCUCUUUGAAGCUUUCACUAUUGGAUGAGCCUGCGUAAGAUUAGCUUGUUGGUGGGGUAAAGGCCUACCCAAGGCAACGAUCUUUAGCUGGUCUGAGAGGACGAUCAGCCACAUUGGGACUGAGACACGGCCCAGACUUCUACGGAAGGCAGCAGUUAGGAAUAUUGGACAAUGGGGGCAACCCUGAUCCAGCUAUACCGCGUGUGUGAAGAAGGCCCUAGGGUUGUAAAGCACUUUAAGCAGGGAAGAAGCAUAUUAAGUUAAUAUCUUAAUAUGUUGACGUUACCUGAAGAAUAAGGACCGGCUAACUCCGUGCCAGCAGCCGCGGUAAUACGGAGGGUCCAAGCGUUAAUCGGAAUUACUGGGCGUAAAGCGCGCGUAGGCGGUUUAAUAAGUUGUAUGUGAAAGCCCUGGGCUCAACCUAGGAACUGCAUACAAAACUAUUAAGCUUGAGGACGAGAGAGGAGAGUAGAAUUUCAGGUGUAGCGGUGAAAUGCGUAGAUAUCUGAAGGAAUACCAAUGGCGAAGGCAGCUCUCUGGCUCGUUUCUGACGCUAAGGUGCGAAAGCGUGGGUAGCAAACAGGAUUAGAUAUCCUGGUAGUCCACGCCGUAAACGAUGAUAACUAGCCGUUGGGCAGAUUUAACUGUUCAGUGGCACAGCUAACGCAUUAAGUUAUCCGCUGGGGAGUACGC
RNAcentral lists this ribosomal RNA (852 nucleotides) under uncultured Gammaproteobacteria bacterium. Its description in RNAcentral is "bacterial SSU rRNA". It matches the Rfam family "Bacterial small subunit ribosomal RNA", at positions 58 to 885 of the family's 1533-position model. Lineage: Bacteria; Pseudomonadati; Pseudomonadota; Gammaproteobacteria. The record is from RNAcentral.